AUAUGCAGGUCAUACCAUCUGAGAAAUCAGUCCCUCCUCUCUGUAUGUCCUAUAAAAGCUAAAGGUGUGCAAAGUUUGUUCCUUACAGAGACUUCAGAGGCAGAAGCAGAACAACCUGAGAGACUAACUCCUGUGUGCAAUUGAACCAGCACGUAACAGACAGGUGAACACUAAAAACAAAAGUGAAACCACCCUGAGGCGCACUGACAGAGGCGAGGCUGC
Long non-coding RNA from Haplochromis burtoni (Burton's mouthbrooder), 222 nucleotides. RefSeq lists it as uncharacterized. The transcript has 3 exons. The record is from RefSeq and is a predicted model, not a curated record. Lineage: Eukaryota; Metazoa; Chordata; Actinopteri; Cichliformes; Cichlidae.